AGUGCAAUGGCAUAAGCCCGCUUGACUGCGAGAAUGACAAUUCGAGCAGGUGCGAAAGCAGGUCAUAGUGAUCCGGUGGUUCUGAAUGGAAGGGCCAUCGCUCAACGGAUAAAAGGUACUCCGGGGAUAACAGGCUGAUACCGCCCAAGAGUUCAUAUCGACGGCGGUGUUUGGCACCUCGAUGUCGGCUCAUCACAUCCUGGGGCUGAAGUCGGUCCCAAGGGUAUGGCUGUUCGCCAUUUAAAGUGGUACGCGAGCUGGGUUUAGAACGUCGUGAGACAGUUCGGUCCCUAUCUGCCGUGGGCGUUGGAAGAUUGAAGGGGGCUGCUCCUAGUACGAGAGGACCGGAGUGGACGAACCUCUGGUGUUCGGGUUGUGUCGCCAGACGCAUUGCCCGGUAGCUAAGUUCGGAAUCGAUAACCGCUGAAAGCAUCUAAGCGGGAAGCGAGCCCUGAGAUGAGUCUUCCCUGAUACUUUAAGUAUCCUAAAGGGUUGUCGGAGACUACGACGUUGAUAGGUCAGGUGUGUAAGUGCUGUGAGGCAUUGAGCUAACUGAUACUAAUUGCCCGUGAGGCUUAACCAUACAACACCCAAGGGGUUU
RNAcentral lists this ribosomal RNA (601 nucleotides) under Vibrio parahaemolyticus. RNAcentral describes it as "bacterial LSU rRNA". It matches the Rfam family "Bacterial large subunit ribosomal RNA", at positions 2348 to 2925 of the family's 2925-position model. The record is from RNAcentral. Lineage: Bacteria; Pseudomonadati; Pseudomonadota; Gammaproteobacteria; Vibrionales; Vibrionaceae.